This 145-nucleotide small nuclear RNA is filed under the name Mytilus galloprovincialis (Mediterranean mussel). It matches the Rfam family "U1 spliceosomal RNA". From Rfam's summary of the family: U1 is a small nuclear RNA (snRNA) component of the spliceosome (involved in pre-mRNA splicing). Its 5' end forms complementary base pairs with the 5' splice junction, thus defining the 5' donor site of an intron. The record is from RNAcentral. Lineage: Eukaryota; Metazoa; Mollusca; Bivalvia; Mytilida; Mytilidae.
AUAUUACUGGCGGGCACCGUGAUCAAAAAGGCGUCUCCCCAGGUCGGAGCGUUCCAUUGCACUCCGUUAGCUAAGCCUGGCGAUUGCCCCAAAUGUGGCAACUCGGGUACGCAAUGUUUAUGUGGGGACGCGUUCGCCAUCCCCU